CUUGGGCUAAUACCGGAUAAGUCCGAGAGGAGAAAGAUUUAUCGCCGAAGGAUCGGCCCGCGUCUGAUUAGCUAGUUGGUGAGGUAACGGCUCACCAAGGCGACGAUCAGUAGCUGGUCUGAGAGGAUGAUCAGCCACACUGGGACUGAGACACGGCCCAGACUCCUACGGGAGGCAGCAGUGGGGAAUAUUGGACAAUGGGCGCAAGCCUGAUCCAGCCAUGCCGCGUGAGUGAUGAAGGCCUUAGGGUUGUAAAGCUCUUUUACCCGGGAAGAUAAUGACGGUACCGGGAGAAUAAGCCCCGGCUAACUUCGUGCCAGCAGCCGCGGUAAUACGAAGGGGGCUAGCGUUGUUCGGAAUCACUGGGCGUAAAGCGCACGUAGGCGGAUCUUUAAGUCAGGGGUGAAAUCCCGAGGCUCAACCUCGGAACUGCCUUUGAUACUGGGG
This 447-nucleotide ribosomal RNA is filed under the name uncultured Beijerinckiaceae bacterium. RNAcentral's name for it is "bacterial SSU rRNA". It matches the Rfam family "Bacterial small subunit ribosomal RNA", at positions 157 to 638 of the family's 1533-position model. The record is from RNAcentral. Lineage: Bacteria; Pseudomonadati; Pseudomonadota; Alphaproteobacteria; Hyphomicrobiales; Beijerinckiaceae.